CGGGUGAGUAACGCGUAUCCAACCUACCCAUUACAGGGGAAUAACCUUGCGAAAGUAAGACUAAUGCCCCAUGGUAUUCUCAGCAGACAUCUAAUGAGGAUUAAAGAUUUAUCGGUAAUGGAUGGGGAUGCGUCUGAUUAGCUUGUUGGCGGGGUAACGGCCCACCAAGGCAACGAUCAGUAGGGGUUCUGAGAGGAAGGUCCCCCACAUUGGAACUGAGACACGGUCCAAACUCC
This 236-nucleotide ribosomal RNA is filed under the name uncultured Prevotella sp. RNAcentral's name for it is "partial 16S ribosomal RNA". It matches the Rfam family "Bacterial small subunit ribosomal RNA", at positions 103 to 339 of the family's 1533-position model. The record is from RNAcentral. Lineage: Bacteria; Pseudomonadati; Bacteroidota; Bacteroidia; Bacteroidales; Prevotellaceae.